Molecule: long non-coding RNA, 310 nt
Filed under: Homo sapiens (human)
Lineage: Eukaryota; Metazoa; Chordata; Mammalia; Primates; Hominidae
Description: HSALNT0246573
Source: RNAcentral
CUGGGGAGGCUGUGCCUGGGCUUUCCCUGGGGUACUUUGAAGGAAAGGGCGUUCUGUUCGUGUGCACCAGCAGAUGCUUUGGUCUCAUUCAUGAGGUUUGAUUUUUUUAAACAUGCAGUCCUACACUUUGGGCGACUGAGGAAAGGUGGAUCACUUGAGGCCAGGAGUUUGAGACCAGCCUGGCCAUCAUGGUGAAAUUCCAUCUCUUUUUUUUUGAGACGGACUCUUGCUCUGUCGCCCAGGCUGGAUCUCGGCUCACUGCAAGCUGCGCCUCCCGGUUCACUCCAUUCUCCUGCCUCAGCCUCCCGAG